GUGAAGCAGCCAAGAACCUGCCUGAAGCCUGGGAAGGACAAAGCGGCCGGUCAGGGAAACCCCAGGACAGGAGCAGAGGGGAAGCACUGUGUUGGGGAGGAAUCGCCCGAGGAGGACGACAGACCGGAGCUGGACCCAGUAUCGCUGCUGCCCAGAGCUGUCUGAGGCCCAAGGAGUUCCACGACAGGACCUCUGCUGCCAAAGUUUGGCAGAAGAAAGAAAACGGGGUGAUCUCACUUCACACUAGUAAUCCUUCAAAGCUCAGAAAUGAUACUUAUCCAGCCAUUUUCAGAUAGAAAGAUGGCUGGCUGAAUGCGGGAUUAGGCAGUAAACAAGAAAAACAGCAGGGAGCCUCAGAAUGGUCUUCUGGAUUGGAGCAAGGGGAAGAGGAUAAUUUAUCCAAAACAUGAAACAAUUUGUCUUUUAAAAAUGACUGUCCAUUUGAGGAGGAAAUUUCUGAAUUAGUUAGGCUGCACUGCUGGCACAUUUUCAUUAUACCAAAAUGCUGUAAGUGCUUGGAGGGCAGAAGAGGCUCCUAUAAACACCUAUCACAUCCAAGAGUUAAAAGAAUAUGUUGCUGAUAAGGCCUGGUCUACACUUUAAAAAGUUAGAUUGACAUAGCUAUGGCAUUCAGGGGUGUGAAAGAUGUACACAGCUGAGCCCAUUAGCUCUGCCAACUUAACCCCUGCUGUAGACGCAGCGAGGUUGACAAGACUACUUCCUUUGACCUAGCUAUGGGAAAGUGGAAUUCCUACAGCAACCAGGAGGGAGGGGAGAACUACACAACAGGCAUUUAGAGAGAUAAAACUACAGUACCAUAGCUGUGCCACUGUAGCGCCUAUAGUCUAGACAUGGAGUGAGACUAAGCUGCCAGAUAAUUAUAUUGCUCAACUUUAGCUGAAUGUUAACAACACAACCACACUUAUUUUCAACUCAGGAGCCCUGCACAAAGAGGUCUUCAAGAUCUGGACCAAGGUAGUGAUUCUAAGCACAUGCACCAAGAGAGACACCCUCCUUCUGACCAAGUAGCUUUGACAGACUAAUGAUUAAGACUGGCACACUUUGCCAAGGCAUCCUGCAUAUUAGCUGAGAGGUUGAUAGUUGGUUUUAAUUCUGAUCCUCUGCCCAGCGUCUUUACGAAAGUCCUGCUGAAUUGCUUGGAAUAGGAGACUUAAUGCACAAGACCUGUCUACUUUUCAGUGUUAUGCUCACGUGAAGCCUGGUUCUGAAAACCCUGUGUGUGAGAGACGCCCACUGAAGUCCAUGGGACUUCUACAUUUAACAGCCUUACAGGACCAAGUUUAAGAUGUGACAAGAGACAGCCCAGCAGAGUUAAAUCCUCUAUAUUAUAACUGUUCUGUGAAUAGAUACAAAGGUAGCAGGGGCAGUAGCAGUACAAGCUUCCCCACACUGUACUCGAGCAACCUGUCCUAUCACGGAGAAACUAGUUCUGCCUCCAUGCCUACCUAACAUUGCAGUCUCACCAAUUAUAUUGGUAUUGGAACAUGGACUCAGUAGAUCGAAAUUAGUCCAACAACUCCUCAAACAACGAGCACUCAGAAGUCAUUAAAGACUAACUACCCAUACAGUCAAUAUUUGAACUGACUCCUUAUGGAAAGGGAAGAGGGUCUCAAUCAGUUUCUUAUCCUUGGCAGACUACCGUCACGACCUUGUAACAUAAAUUUAGCUCUGUGCUACACCGACAAUA
Long non-coding RNA from Mauremys reevesii (Reeves's turtle), 1708 nucleotides. RefSeq lists it as uncharacterized. Lineage: Eukaryota; Metazoa; Chordata; Testudines; Geoemydidae. The record is from RefSeq and is a predicted model, not a curated record. The transcript has 3 exons.